Molecule: long non-coding RNA, 434 nt
Filed under: Mustela putorius furo (domestic ferret)
Lineage: Eukaryota; Metazoa; Chordata; Mammalia; Carnivora; Mustelidae
Description: lncRNA (ENSMPUG00000025104.1)
Source: RNAcentral
AAAUAAAUAAAAGUUGUUCCUUUCUCUUUUUUCCCUUUUUCUAGAUCUCCACUUACAAUUUUUAUUAGAGUGGGGCUAAAGGGAAAGCUGCCAGAUGAAAACCCAGGCCUACAAAAAAAUAAUAAAAAGCAUUGGAAAUGGAAGAAGUUUCUGUGGCUGAGGUCAAAGAGGUUGCUGCCACUGUUCUCCUCCAGGAUUUUGAUGGAUUCCUGUCUGACACUGAGGUCUUUCAUCCAUAUUGCAACCAGAACAUGAGACGAGACAGAAAAUCUAAGCAUCACAAACGCGAACUUGCUUAGUGUGGCAGAAUGCCUGAGGGAGCCGGGAGAUGCUGAGAGAGGGAAGGAGAGACUAGAGAAAGGAUGAGGAGAAAGGUGAGUGUCUGAGCAGAGGCCAACUCAGCCUCACCUCAUUUUUCCCUUUUGCUUUAGUUU